AAAAAAGGAUCAAGACAGAGAGUCCAAAUUGAAAAAAGUAAUGGGAAGAUAAGCAACUACAUGAGCACAUCUGUUAAAAACCAUAGUAAUUCCAGAAAAACCCGUUAAGACGGUCAUACACAUUAUACUAUUGUCAGCUGAGCCUGCCAUUUUCUGUAGUGCCUGUCGACAGUCUCCUGAUCCUUUUGUCCUCCAGGGAGAUAAGCUGCUGUCAUAGGUGUCCGAUCGCUGCAUUCUCCUCCCCUGACACCCCCCCCCCCCCUCCCAAUUUAAAAACAUAUAGACACUUAGCCAAGCCUUUAUGUGUAUGCUGCAGUUGGGAGAGAUUGCCUGACAGCUAUUGAAGGUGUAUAGGCUCUGGGAGGAGCAGGGCAAUGUUCCCAAUUAUGAAUUUUGCUGAAUGUAGAGAAGUUCUUGUUUUGUGUCAAACAUAAUAAUACAUUCCCUUCUGUUUAAUAAUGAACUAUACAGUAAAUGCACAUUUAUGAGAACACAAAGGGAGGAUUUAUAAAGAUUAGCGGGCAUGUAAAAUGAAGGAGAUUUCAGAAUUCUGACUGGUUGUAGUUUCACUUUUCUUAUGCACUAGUUUUCUGAAAUCUUCCCGUAUGUACAUAGUGUCAGAUGGUGAUUUAUUUAAUAACUUGUUAUAAUGAUGGUCACUUUUAUGUUGUGUCACUUUGUUCUAGACAUUACUUCUGAAUUUAUUUGCACAGUCACUUAUUCCUGUUACUUUUUGUUUUUGAACUGCAGGGUGAAUUUUAGAGAGCAGAUCUGUUCACUCGCACAUACGCUUAUUAAUGUCGAUAGUGCAGUCUACUUGUAGCCAGUCCUGUUCAUUUUAUUUCUUCUAUUUUCUGACCAUGUAAAUAAAGAAAUGAA
Long non-coding RNA from Bufo bufo (common toad), 879 nucleotides. RefSeq lists it as uncharacterized. The record is from RefSeq and is a predicted model, not a curated record. Lineage: Eukaryota; Metazoa; Chordata; Amphibia; Anura; Bufonidae. The transcript has 3 exons.